CCUACGGGGGGCAGCAGUGAGGAAUAUUGGUCAAUGGGCGAGAGCCUGAACCAGCGAAGUCGCGUGAGGGAGUACUGCCCUAUGGGUUGUAAACCUCUUUUGUCGGGGAGCAAAAGCCGGACGUGUCCGGCUGUGAGAGUACCCGAAGAAAAAGCAUCGGCUAACCCCGUGCCAGCGGCCGCGGUAAUACGGAGGAUGCGAGCGUUAUCCGUAUUUAGUGGAUUUAAAGGGUGCGCAGGCGGAUUUUUUAGUCAGAGUGAAAAUCGUGGGGCUCAACCCCAUCCAGCCGUUGAAACUGGGGAUCUAGAGUGUGCGAGAGGUAUGCGGAAUGCGUGGUGUAGCGGUGAAAUGCAUAGAUAUCACGCAGAACCCCGAUUGCGAAGGCAGCAUACCGGUGCACAACUGACGCUCAAGCACGAAAGCGUGGGUAUCGAACAGGAUUAGAUACCCGUGUAGUC
Molecule: ribosomal RNA, 458 nt
Filed under: uncultured bacterium
Lineage: Bacteria
Description: partial 16S ribosomal RNA
Rfam family: Bacterial small subunit ribosomal RNA
Source: RNAcentral